Long non-coding RNA from Aegilops tauschii subsp. strangulata, 2853 nucleotides. RefSeq lists it as uncharacterized. Lineage: Eukaryota; Viridiplantae; Streptophyta; Magnoliopsida; Poales; Poaceae. The record is from RefSeq and is a predicted model, not a curated record.
UAUUUCGCCCACACGCACGCGUGUGAGAGAGAUCGUGAGGAAAAAAAGGUGUGUGGGCCGUUCCUCUUAUACACCACACAAAAUAUGUGGACAGACCCCCUAACGCCCACAUGUGUGGCACUUAUCAGCGUCCUAGAUUUAUGCAUCUCUACUCUUAAUGUCUGAGUUGGUGAAUAGCUUUCACAGUUUUUUUUUGUCUGGUUAAUUUUCGUCCAGUUUAUUUUCGUCUCACCUCCCACCACCCCUCCCACGUUAAUUUCUUCUUCUUCGCAUUUAAAACAGAAUCGCGUCUGAUACUCCUUUCAUUUAUUUGUGCUUGCUUUGGGCGGUGUCGAUAUAGGUUACCCAUGAUCGGUGUUGAUUUUAUCUGUCAAUAAGAUAAAUUUUUGGUAGUACUAUUUGGUAACUUUUUUAUGGAAAGAAAUAAAUAAUAAGUCUGCCUCGUACACAGAAAAAAUCGGAAAGAACGAAAAAAGGAAACAACCCACGUACGCACAUCGCACCUCCCCCACUCCCCUUCCCCCAAGUCCCUCGCUCUCGAUCUCGUGCCUCUGUAGAGAGGAAUCGCCGUCGCUGACCUCCACCCGCCUACGGUGACCUCGAGCGGUAGAAAACUGCAGCCAAACUAGAUUGGAGGGGUGCAUUCGUGCCCUUGCAUCUCCUGUCUUCUUCAUCGAGUCCACGAGGAGCUUGCCGCAGGGAGGGCGACGAGCAGGAGCAGCGCAUCGACGGCAACGACGAACGACGGCCUAGGUAACGCUAUCUUCCCACCCUCGCUUCACUCCGUCUUCUUCCUAUAGCCUGUACUCUCCCAUGGCAGGGGCCGGCGAGUGUCAAUGGAUGGAGGGAGAUCGACUGGUGGCGCAACGGACGGUGGCACAACGGCUAGUGGGCACGGCUGGGCGGUGGGAGAUCUGCCAAGCGACGGUGGGAUGGGCUUAUUGUUUGAUGUUUUUUUUUGGACCUAGAUGAAUACUAAUAACACUGAAUUUGUGAAUGUAGACUGUAUGUUUUAUCAUUCUCUUAAUCUCAUGUAUAUGUUGUGUUGAUCCUUAAAUUGGCAAAACACUGCUUGAUAAAAGUCACUCGAGUCUGCUUUUUAUUGUGGAAACUCGUCCUAUGUGUGAAUUUAUUUAUAGAACCUUCCAAUUUUGAUUAUGCAAAUUGCACGAAACCUGAGUUGUCCUAUUUUGUAGAUUAAGGAAUGAUGGACUUGUAAUCUUGCAUUGUCGUGGAAGACACAGUGAGUUGCUAUAUAUCUCUAUACAUCUCAUAAAGUAAUUUGCUUGCAUUAUAUUCAACUUCUCUCCCUACACACCCACAACGAUUUACCGUAUAUUUCCUUAGCCAUGAGUAUGCAUGGUUGUACCUUGCCCAGAAUCAUAUACGGAGUAUUUCCUUAGCCAUGAGUAUGUCAUCGUGAUCCUCUGUACCGGCUCUAAGAUGUACUACAAUAUGGUUACAUCUACUCCAUUCACCACAGUGAUAAUCAAUUUAAUUUUUUUCCUUUCUAUUGCUUGAUUGUAUUGCCUUUAAGUCAUAUAUUAGAGAUUUUAGUAGAGUCAGGUCUCUACCAGCGAAAAUCAUGGCUAAGGAAACAGGACUGGCAGAUUUCCCCCUCCACCGUCGGGGAGAAGACGUCAUGACACAGUUACGAUGAGGUGUGGCGCAAGCGAGGCUGUAGGAUCCCUCCUAUGAAGCCAGGCAACGACAUCAUCGGAUCCUCACUGGUACGCAGAGGUGUCGCUGGGGUCCGACGAGGUGGCAGGGACGUGUGAUUAAUUAGGUACAUGGCUGAAGGAUCUUUUAGUAUGCAAGUAUGGAGCAACUUCUAAAAUGGUUUGCAUGAUGUCACUUGACAUCCUUGGCAUCUAUCUCUUUUGCACUACUACCUGCAGCUGGAGGCAUGAGGCCUAGGAAGGUGAUUCUGUACUGUUUUUUCGAAACCUCGUUUGUACUCGUGAUUUCUUGUCUCAUUAAUCUCACAGCUACACAGGACAACAUCUGAAUAUAUUAUAGUUAAUGCCUUUCUUCUUGGAGCUUUUGUGUUCUGGACUAGCAUGAUUUGUUGGCAUGUGGGUCGCGGUAUAUGCAAAUUUUAGUUUCAAGUGCUGCUUGGGGGCCUGCAAUGGAAGCGUUGCAGGUUUUAUUUGUCAUCUAUGGUGUUCGUCUUUCAUGUGUUUUCCCCUUCUACGAUUUGAAAUGGUGAAUAAUUUGCCAAAACAGAUUGGUGUUCGUGCAGGUGAUUUCUCAGCCAUGGCAUUGACUGUAUUUGGUGUGGCACUACUCUAUGCAACAUUUUAUGUUUGGCUUGGAGUAUAGAUUCACCUGAUUCAAUGAAGGUUGCGAAUACUGAAACCCAUCAUGUGUAUAUUUCAUAUGUUGUGGCAUGAGAGAGGGAUCAUGGGUGAGGAAGCAGAGCAGCGGCAGGCAAGGAGUGAGGGGAGCAGUCGGAGGCUCAUAGGGAGGCGGAUAAUGGGUGAGGAAGCAGAGCAGCAGCAGGCGUGCAGGGAGGGGAGCAGCCGGAGGCUCAUAGGGAGGUGGAGUAGCGGCACGUGGCGAGCAGGUUGGGGAGCUCGGCGACAACAGCACGACGUGAUGUUGUGCUGGCGUGUGCCGGUGCUGAUUAUAUGUGAAUUGCAACAUGGAGUUCAGGAAGAUAAGAGUCGAAGAGUAUAAGAGAAGAUGGAAGGUAGUUAAGGAUGAGUCUGUAGGCAAUGAUUUAUAUGUGAGUGGAAUAGUUUUUCUUUCAUAAAAAAUAGACUUCCAGCUAGUUUCAGAUACAGACCAUUUGACAAUUAUAUUUUAGUGAAUUGUUUGACAUUUACGGAAAUAUGUUUAUUUGAAAGAAGU